Molecule: ribosomal RNA, 598 nt
Filed under: Trachylepis capensis (Cape three-lined skink)
Lineage: Eukaryota; Metazoa; Chordata; Lepidosauria; Squamata; Scincidae
Description: partial 16S ribosomal RNA
Rfam family: Bacterial large subunit ribosomal RNA
Source: RNAcentral
AUAAGAGUCAACCCGUCUCUGUGGCAAAAGAGUGGGAAGACCUUACAGUAGAGGUGAAAAGCCAAACGAGCCUGGUGAUAGCUGGUUGCUCAACAAACGAAUUUAAGUUCGACUUUAGGUUAUCAUCUCAAAUAAAAGCCCUAAUACAACCUAAAAGCUACUCAAUGAAGGUACAACUCCAUUGAGAUAGGAUACAACCCAAACUAGAGAGAAAGAAAUAUUAUAAGACCAGUAGGCCCUAAAGCCGCCACCAAUAAAAAAAGCGUCACAGCAUAAAAAUAACAAAUCCCAUAAUAUUAGCCGAACUCCUAGUAAAACAUUGAGCCAAACUAUAAUUAUAGCUGAACUAAUGCUAAAACUAGUAACAAGAAAACUUCUCUAAGCACCCCUAUAACCCAGAAAUAGAAAAUCUACUGGCCUUUAACAGACCAAAACAGGCACAACAUUAAUUAUUGUUUCUACUACUGUUAAACCAACACAGGAGUGCCAUCAAGACAGAUUAAAAAUUAUAAAAGGAACUCAGCAAAACUUGUCCCAACUGUUUACCAAAAACAUAGCCUUUAGCAAUACAAGUAUUAAAGGUCCCGCCUGCCCAGUG